GAGCGGACGGAUGGGAGCUUGCUCCCUGAAGUCAGCGGCGGACGGGUGAGUAACACGUGGGCAACCUGCCUGUAAGACUGGGAUAACUCCGGGAAACCGGGGCUAAUACCGGAUAACUCUUUUCCUCACAUGAGGAAAAGCUGAAAGAUGGUUUCGGCUAUCACUUACAGAUGGGCCCGCGGCGCAUUAGCUAGUUGGUGAGGUAACGGCUCACCAAGGCCACGAUGCGUAGCCGACCUGAGAGGGUGAUCGGCCACACUGGGACUGAGACACGGCCCAGACUCCUACGGGAGGCAGCAGUAGGGAAUCUUCCGCAAUGGACGAAAGUCUGACGGAGCAACGCCGCGUGAGUGAUGAAGGUUUUCGGAUCGUAAAACUCUGUUGUCAGGGAAGAACAAGUACCGGAGUAACUGCCGGUACCUUGACGGUACCUGACCAGAAAGCCACGGCUAACUACGUGCCAGCAGCCGCGGUAAUACGUAGGUGGCAAGCGUUGUCCGGAAUUAUUGGGCGUAAAGCGCGCGCAGGCGGUUCCUUAAGUCUGAUGUGAAAGCCCCCGGCUCAACCGGGGAGGGUCAUUGGAAACUGGGGAACUUGAGUGCAGAAGAGAAGAGUGGAAUUCCACGUGUAGCGGUGAAAUGCGUAGAGAUGUGGAGGAACACCAGUGGCGAAGCGACUCUUUGGUCUGUAACUGACGCUGAGGCGCGAAAGCGUGGGGAG
Molecule: ribosomal RNA, 720 nt
Filed under: Bacillus sp. 6-78
Lineage: Bacteria; Bacillati; Bacillota; Bacilli; Caryophanales; Bacillaceae
Description: bacterial SSU rRNA
Rfam family: Bacterial small subunit ribosomal RNA
Source: RNAcentral